RNAcentral lists this unclassified non-coding RNA (221 nucleotides) under soil metagenome. RNAcentral's name for it is "partial internal transcribed spacer 1". The record is from RNAcentral.
CCGAAAUUUAAAACUCACAACGCGAGUCUCGUGCGGAAGCAAAUAUGACUGCCGAGACUAUGUGACUCUUCAAGUCUUCCUUUGCUCAAGCCCAAACCACACUCGUGAAGCACAUGUGACGAGUCUGUGGUGAGCAUCGGGAGCACUGCGUUUCCUUCGGGAUUCACAGUCUAAAAACGAAUUGUAAAGUAUAUAUAUAAACAAAAAAAGACGAAAAAAAU